Molecule: transfer RNA, 49 nt
Filed under: Filago aegaea
Lineage: Eukaryota; Viridiplantae; Streptophyta; Magnoliopsida; Asterales; Asteraceae
Description: partial transfer RNA-Leu
Source: RNAcentral
CAAGUCCCUCUAUCCCCAAAAAGACCAUUUGACUCCCUAAUUAUUUAUC